GAUGAACGCUAGCUACAGGCUUAACACAUGCAAGUCGAGGGGCAGCACGAGUGUAGCAAUACAUGGGUGGCGACCGGCGCACGGGUGCGUAACGCGUAUCCAACCUUCCCGUUACUCUCGGAUAGCCUUCCGAAAGGGAGAUUAAUACGAGAUGGUGUUGAAAUUCCGCAUGUUAUUUCAACUAAAGAUUCAUCGGUAACGGAUGGGGAUGCGUGACAUUAGGUAGAUGGCGGGGUAACGGCCACCAUGCCCACGAUGUCUAGGGGUUCUGAGAGGAAGGUCCCCCANACUGGAACUGAGACACGGUCCAGACUCCUACGGGAGGCAGCAGUGAGGAAUAUUGGUCAAUGGUCGAGAGACUGAACCAGCCAAGUGCGUGAAGGAUGACUGCCCUAGGGUU
This 400-nucleotide ribosomal RNA is filed under the name uncultured bacterium. RNAcentral's name for it is "bacterial SSU rRNA". It matches the Rfam family "Bacterial small subunit ribosomal RNA", at positions 28 to 424 of the family's 1533-position model. The record is from RNAcentral.